UGAGGAAUAUUGCGCAAUGGCCGAAAGGCUGACGCAGCGACGCCGCGUGGGGGAUGACGGCCUUCGGGUUGUAAACACUUGUCAGUGGGGAAGAACACAAUGACUGUACCCACAGAGGAAGCCCCGGCUAACUACGUGCCAGCAGCCGCGGUAAGACGUAGGGGGCGAGCGUUGUUCGGAAUUACUGGGCGUAAAGAGCUCGUAGGCUGGAAACUAAGUCUUUAAACAAAUCUCCCGGCUUAACCGGGAACAGUUUAGAGAUACUGAUUUUCUUGAGAACAGGAGAGGGGAAUGGAAUUCCUAGUGUAGCGGUGAAAUGCGUAGAUAGUAGGAGGAACACCAGUGGCGAAGGCGGGUCUCUGGCCUGUUUCUGACGCUGAGGAGCGAAAGCUGGGGGAGCGAACG
This 405-nucleotide ribosomal RNA is filed under the name uncultured prokaryote. RNAcentral's name for it is "bacterial SSU rRNA". It matches the Rfam family "Bacterial small subunit ribosomal RNA", at positions 355 to 774 of the family's 1533-position model. The record is from RNAcentral.